This is a long non-coding RNA of Lolium rigidum, 1808 nucleotides long. RefSeq lists it as uncharacterized. The record is from RefSeq and is a predicted model, not a curated record. NCBI's taxonomy places the organism in Eukaryota, Viridiplantae, Streptophyta, Magnoliopsida, Poales, Poaceae. The transcript is spliced from 7 exons.
AUUUCAGGCUUCGGCAACGACGAGCAUGUCCAAGCUAGACACCAGAAGAGUAUUGCAUACUCAGCUACUCCAAUCGUUUGGGCCUUUGGGAAUGGUGGACUCGAUUGCUGAAUCAAUGGUGCCAUGUCAUGCCCCCUAUAUUACCUUUGCCCAAAUCAAAGUGCAUAUAGUUCCACGAGGUUUGUUGUAAUACAAUACAAGACUUUUGGGCUACGCUGCAUUCCUAGAAGAUGCUACUUUGAUAUAUUCUGCAGCAUUUAGAGAAGGAAAAGGAUAAAGGACAUGCUCUGGCCUUAUAGAAUCUGGUAUCCAACCAAAGUAUUUUACCCUCGCCCUUGUCUCUCCUCCUCAAGCGACGUCGUUUUUGGGGUGGCGCUGGGCCAGAGGCGGAAGUGCAGCAAGGGGCGGCGUUGGGCCGUAGGUGGAGGAGCAGCGAGAGGCGGCUCUUGGGGCGGCGCUGUGUGAAGGAGGUGCCGGGGGAGGCCGGCUGGUGCGGGCCGCGCUCCCUCGCCCAUGCCCUCGCUCGUCGUCUUCCUGGUUGCCUCUUCCCCAACCUUAGGCUAUAAGCAGAGCAAGGAAUUGAUUGGUAAAUGGGGUCGGCUGACGAAGGUGACUACCAGAGUCCGCCGAAGCAGACCUCAUACGCCACUGAAUGCAUUCUGCAAUUUGUCCUCCCAAGAUUGAUCUUCUGGAAUCCACUACUGCAGUGAGCUUUGAGAAAGUGGAUUCAAGCAAACUUUCAGAGACAAAGUUGAUCUUGCAGCAGCUCCACUCAACUCAUUCCCCUACAACAUUGGAUAGGUGUUUUCUCCAGAUAUUAUAGGUGACAGUUGCAGAGUUUGAAGACAUGGAGGUUCUGCUCGACAAGCUCUUUGUGCCCAAGCUCGAAAGUGCUUUAUAUUGCAACCAGGUGAUGUUUUGUAACCUGCCAAUAUCCGCUCCUAAAUUGUCGCUUCUUGUUAGGUAUUUAGAAGUGUUAGUUAUUGUUGUCCUCAGUUAGCACGUACAAAACGGUGCAUCAUUUAUGGGUUAAUGUUUUACAUUCCAUUAAAAGAUACUGUGAGGUUUCCAUUAUUCAAGCUUUUUAUAAAAGCUUUGCUUUUGAAGAUAUUGAACUUGGCUCAGGUUUACUUCAAAUUUCUAAAAGGUGUUGUGGUUUUUAGCAAUGAUUUUUUCUCUCUUAUUAUAAAUAGACGGAUUUUCCUUUUAAAAGAAUGCAUAGCUUUUCUAUCAUUCUAUUUGUUUCUGAAUCUGAAUCAUUUAAAUAAUAUCGAUAAUCACACUGAAUUUUCCUGGCAAUCGAAGUUAUCUUUCAUGUGCCAACUUUAGGAUGCAGGAAGUUCCGUCAAGCAACUGUGCUUUACUCAUAAAAAAAUAAGUACAUAAAUUGAUUAUUGAUUGAAGACAUGGAGGUUCUGCUCGACAAGCUCUUUGUGCCCAAGCUCGAAAGUGCUUUAUAUUGCAACCAGGGGCAGCAGGGCUCACGAUGCAAGUAUUCAAUUCUGUAUAUGGAUAAGGCUGCACCACAAAAGAUUCACUUUGACGGUGGAGAAGGGGUGAACUGUUGAUCCAUACAUUGUCCCCAAAGUUAUUUACUGGCUGCAAUUUUAUUUUGUAGUUAUAUUUGCAAAUUUGUGUGGCGGGCAACAUAUGAGAGGCUGCUGACAACAAGAAUCAAGUUGGUCCAUGUUUUAUUUAAAUGCAUUUGACACUGUUGUCAUACUAAGAACAAAAUCAUUUUUCAUGACAUUGUUGUCAUUCAAACGUCCUCGGUGGUGGUAAAUAAGCUGUCGAGCAGUUUUGAUUGA